This 74-nucleotide transfer RNA is filed under the name bacterium F11. It matches the Rfam family "tRNA". Rfam says of the family: Transfer RNA (tRNA) molecules are approximately 80 nucleotides in length. Their secondary structure includes four short double-helical elements and three loops (D, anti-codon, and T loops). The record is from Rfam by way of RNAcentral.
GUGAUCGUAGCUCAACCGGUUAGAGCGCCAGAUUGUGGAUCUGGAGGUUGCGGGUUCAAGUCCCGUCGGUCACC